Long non-coding RNA from Dermacentor albipictus, 2157 nucleotides. RefSeq lists it as uncharacterized. The record is from RefSeq and is a predicted model, not a curated record. NCBI's taxonomy places the organism in Eukaryota, Metazoa, Arthropoda, Arachnida, Ixodida, Ixodidae.
CUGGCUGACGAACAAGAUGCUUAAGCCACCACUACUGCUCUUGCAGGUAUUGCCGUGGAUUUUCACCGCCACAACAACGAACAACGGACUACUGGCUUUCUUCCGAGUACCUCGUGGCAAUGACACCGUGGACUGCACUAUCUUUGAUCAACGUUCCGCAAGUGUGACGUCAUCACUCGACAUCGUACUUAAGGAGCCUCGAUGCGACAUUCGCUUCAGAGGGCACGGCACCUGGCUGACGAACAAGAUGCUUAAGCCACCACUACUGCUCUUGCAGGUAUUGCCGUGGAUUUUCACCGCCACAACAACGAACAACGGACUACUGGCUUUCUUCCGAGUACCUCGUGGCAAUGACACCGCGGACUGCACUAUCUUUGAUCAACGUUCCGCAAGUGUGACGUCAUCACUCGACAUCGUACUUAAGGAGCCUCGAUGCGACAUUCGCUUCAGAGGGCACGGCACCUGGCUGACGAACAAGAUGCUUAAGCCACCACUACUGCUCUUGCAGCCUCGUCGCCGUUGUUUUCCCGAGGACGAGAACCGUUUUCGGGCUGUGGCGUCGGCCACUUCGUUCCCCCACCAGGAAGCCGUGUCCCAGGGUCCAGACAAUGAGAAAGAAAAUGACAAGUGAUUGAAACUUCGAUACACAAGAAACCGUACACCACAAUCAGCAGCACUGACACAGUCGUUAGCAGGAGUUAUCGUCUUAUUGAGAAUGAUGAACAUUGCGCUGGACAGUGAAACCACUUGCAAAACAAUGUUUUAGAUUCUUACUUGAAUCAACUUUCUCACAAUAAUAAGAAAAACAGAGCGCCAACCAAAUUUAUUUCUUUCUGUUAUGGCAUGACUUCCCGACCAGACGAGAUUUCUUCGGAGUCUUGAUUUGAUUCAAGCUUUCUUAUAUUCUAAGAGUGUCUUGGUAGUUGGAGACAUAUGAUGGUUAUAGGACUUCACUUUAGUAGAACUGAUCUCGUAAAUGUGGUCAGCUCAUGGCCAUCAAAGAUAGCACUGCGAAAGACAUUUCUUGCACUGAAACAUUGCUUGGAAAAAGCAAGAAUGUUACAUGGUACCCACUCACAGGCCAGAAUUAUGUAUGUGAUACACACUUUUUGACGAUUUGUGUCCAUGUGCGCAUAUUGUGUAAUAAGUGUUAUAGUCUUCUGCGUGCGUCCUGUGCGACGAAUGAGCCCUUGACUGCCGUGGUUUUCUGUGUGUGUGUGUUAUUCAUAUCUGCUUGCUUCAUCCAGCAUUCGCACAUGUCUUACCAAUCGAGGCCUCGCGUAUGUGCGACGGAGUCUGUAUACGCAUAUAUGCAAGUACUUGGUAUAGUUCUUGGUGCAACUUGUAUUUGACUUUUGUCCUUGCUGCAGCGUACCUAUGGUUUAGGCGGUUUUUCAUAACUGAUCUCAGCUAACUCGGUUCUGUACUUAUCAAACACCUGAUGGUUCAUCAUAUCUUCUAAUAGUUCGUCUAAUAUUACUAUGUUAUCUACAAAGCUGUAGCAAGUAAUAUAUAUGGGGUGACUAAAUUUGUUUCCUUUAUUAUAUUUCUUUACAAAACAAGACCUAUACGCUCAUGCUUAGUCUCAUAAACUUUCUUGGAACACAUCUAAAGAAAAGGACAGUGAAGUUCUCAGUCUUCAUACAUAGUAGAAUAGGUUCGAAAACUUUUUAACAGUAAUACAGACGGCUUCCACAGUGGCGAACUUCAGGACGAUUAGCUUCUCGUGGCUCUCUAUAGAAAACAUGUGCCGGACAUUUGUGCUACCUUGAGAGCAACAAAAACGGGCUAACAGUUGUAGUGCCUAGCGCUCUGUGGACUGUGCAUGGUAGUGAGACUAAGAUAGAGAAUUACCAGAGCUAUGACAUAACGAUGAUGACGUACUUGAGAACUAUGACAGCCAAUGACGCUACCAAGAGCAGAACCCCAUGUAGAGUGUGUACUGGAUGAAGACGACAGCCCUUGGCACUACAGUACGACGGCGAUUGCAGGAGAGGUAAUACAGCGACGUCAAAACCCAUAGCAAGAGCUGUACGGGAAGAAAACGGAGCAUCGCGGGAUUGAGAAAGACUCUUAUGCAAGGUUCUACGUUACUUUGAAACUUUUGUACAGAGAAAGUAUACAUAAAUAGGAAUAAAACAUUUAUCUCCCUGUGCC